GAUGAACGCUAGCGGGAGGCCUAACACAUGCAAGCCGAGCGGUAGAGAUUCUUCGGAAUCUUGAGAGCGGCGUACGGGUGCGGAACACGUGUCCAACCUGCCUUUAUCAGGGGGAUAGCCUUUCGAAAGGAAGAUUAAUACCCCAUAAUAUAUUUGAUGGCAUCAUUAGAUAUUGAAAGCUUUGGCGGAUAGAGAUGGGCACGCGCAAGAUUAGAUAGUUGGUGAGGUAACGGCUCACCAAGUCGAUGAUCUUUAGGGGGCCUGAGAGGGUGAUCCCCCACACUGGUACUGAGACACGGACCAGACUCCUACGGGAGGCAGCAGUGAGGAAUAUUGGACAAUGGGUUAGCGCCUGAUCCAGCCAUCCCGCGUGAAGGACGACGGCCCUAUGGGUUGUAAACUUCUUUUGUACAGGGAUAAACCUACUCUCGUGAGAGUAGCUGAAGGUACUGUACGAAUAAGCACCGGCUAACUCCGUG
This 479-nucleotide ribosomal RNA is filed under the name uncultured bacterium. RNAcentral's name for it is "partial 16S ribosomal RNA". It matches the Rfam family "Bacterial small subunit ribosomal RNA", at positions 28 to 507 of the family's 1533-position model. The record is from RNAcentral.